Molecule: ribosomal RNA, 418 nt
Filed under: uncultured bacterium
Lineage: Bacteria
Description: bacterial SSU rRNA
Rfam family: Bacterial small subunit ribosomal RNA
Source: RNAcentral
AGAGUUUGAUCCUGGCUCAGAGCGAACGUUAGCGGCAGGCUUAACACAUGCAAGUCGAGCGAGAAAGGGGCUUCGGCUCCGAGUAAAGCGGCGGACGGGUGCGUAACACGUGGAUAAUCUGCCUCGUGGCGGGGGACAACAGUCCGAAAGGACUGCUAAUACCGCAUGUCAGGUCGGAAACUCCGGUUUCUGACGAAAAAAGAGGGCGCCCGCAAGGGGCUCUCACCACGAGAUGAGUCCGCGUCCCAUCAGCUAGUUGGCGGUGUAAUAGACCACCAAGGCUUAGACGGGUAGCUGGUCUGAGAGGAUGACCAGCCACACUGGGACUGAGACACGGCCCAGACUCCUACGGGAGGCAGCAGUGGGGAAUAUUGGACAAUGGGCGAAAGCCUGAUCCAGCCAUGCCGCGUGAGUGAUG